Molecule: long non-coding RNA, 2743 nt
Filed under: Oryza brachyantha (malo sina)
Lineage: Eukaryota; Viridiplantae; Streptophyta; Magnoliopsida; Poales; Poaceae
Description: long non-coding RNA (OBRA_LNC000355)
Source: RNAcentral
AUACAAAGGGUAAUUGCGAGGUAGUGAUUUCGCCAAUAAGGCUCUUUUUUAAAAUAGGAAUUUUCAUUUUUGUAAAAAAAACUAACUAAUCCCUGCAAAAAUCUCAUAAGAUAUGCCCCCGCAUGCACGCACACAAAAUGGAAUCGGGAGAAGCGUGUGACAAUGUCACUGAUUCCUCUGCUUUAUAUCUCUACCUUCUUUUAAUCUUUUGGGUGCAUGCUAUAGCUUUUGCAAUCUUGAUGAUGAAUUGAUUGGUAACAUCAUGGGUGGAAGAAAGAGCAAGAAAAGAACUUGAUCCUUUCCUUAUCUUUCCUGCCAUUGCCUUGCUAAGGCAAGGUUCCAAGCUCUGAAGCUUCCUUCCCUCCUUUUGUCAGACUUUUGAAUGGCCCAUUUUUUUUUAAUUUUUUGUUGCUGUUCAGUAAUUCUUGGCGCAUCACCGACAACCACUGUAACCAGCAUUCACAUAAUCACAUUCAUUCAUGUGGAAUAAGAUUGAUGUACAGGUUGAGAAAAAGGAGAAGAGUGAAGUCAGGGCUUCCCGGACCGGAUCUAUGACACGAACCACGCUACUUUCAUUGGCAUUACAACACACCUUGCAAUGGUUCUGUGGUUUUGGUUUUAGUUUAAAAAACUGAAUUUUAAACUUUUGAUAAAUUUGUGUUUAGUUUUAUUUGGUUUUCAUCGGUCUAUUGAUGGGUUUGCAAAAAAUAUAGAUAUGACGAAGAGAAAACAAAAGGCUAAAAACACGUUUUUACAGACGAAAAAUAAUUUAUAGGUAGUACUUUUAUAUACGUGUCUAUAGUAACUUAAAAGUAAAAGUUAUAAAAAAAAUCAUGGUAAAAAAAUCAUAAAAUCAAGUCAACAUUAAGUUUUGUAACUGUGAAAUGAUGUAAUGCGAAAUGAUGUGAGCCAAAGAGAAAAGUGUCAAGUUUGAGGUGAGCCAAAGAGAAGAGUGUCAAGUUUUGACGCCCAAAUUUUAAGUUUUAUAUGUGUAAAUUAUAAGCUUUCUUACUAAGAAAUUUUGGGUUAUCAACGGAUUGUAUUUUUUUUUGAGGCAAGUUAUCACCGGAUUGUUUAGAGACGAGAAAUAAGCAACCAAACGCAUGCUAAUUGUCUCAGCAAGCUCAAAAGCUAAUCGUCUCGAAGCACUGGUCGGGUCACUUCCCCUUCCAUCUUCUGGACAAUGUAGCAGUACUUAUAUCAAUCGAUCAUAUUUUGGGUUUUUUAACCAUCAGAUUAGGAAAAUUCCUUCCCUAACUGUAUGCUAUUUCUCGAUUACCAUUUGUCAUCACUAGAUAACAGUACAGCGUAAUCCUAUUCGUAUCUGCAAUUCUGCAUCGCUUACUUACACUACAGAAUCAUGAGGCCGAGGCCGAUGGUAUCAAACAAUUCAACAAGGUAAGAUAACCAGAUACUACUAUUUAAUCAGAAUAUGCAGGAUUUUAAAACUUCACUCGGAUUUUUUUUACAAAAGAAAAACAUGCAGAAAGGAGAAGCAAAUGAGCGAACUGAACGCAUAAGUUCAAAUCCCACUUAUUCAUAACCCAAACUGCUGUGCCACAGCAACUGUUUCAUAAAACCAACACAUCAUAGGGACUCGAUGGUACGGUGAGGCAGACACAAGUAGACAUCAGCACCACUAAUACUUGACGAACAGAGGCACGGGACGACCAGGAACACCAGCAGCUUCACCAAGCUGGCAGAUUACUGACCACCACGGAGACGGAGCACCAGGUGAAGGGUAGACUCCUUCUGGAUGUUGUAGUCGGCGAGGGUACGGCCAUCCUCCAGCUGCUUGCCGGCGAAGAUCAGACGCUGCUGGUCUGGGGGGAUCCCCUCCUUGUCCUGGAUCUUGGCCUUCACAUUAUCAAUGGUGUCCGAGCUCUCAACUUCCAAAGUGAUGGUCUUCCCAGUCAAUGUCUUCACAAAGAUCUGCAUACCACCACGGAGACGAAGCACCAGGUGGAGGGUAGACUCCUUCUGGAUGUUAUAGUCAGCAAGGGUCCUGCCAUCCUCGAGCUGCUUGCCAGCAAAGAUGAGACGCUGCUGGUCCGGGGGGAUGCCUUCCUUGUCCUGGAUCUUGGCCUUCACAUUGUCGAUGGUAUCUGAGCUCUCAACCUCCAGAGUGAUCGUCUUGCCUGUGAGGGUCUUGACAAAGAUCUGCAUACCACCACGGAGACGGAGCACCAGGUGGAGGGUGGACUCCUUCUGGAUGUUAUAGUCAGCAAGGGUCCUGCCAUCCUCGAGCUGCUUGCCAGCAAAGAUGAGACGCUGCUGGUCCGGGGGGAUGCCUUCCUUGUCCUGGAUCUUGGCCUUGACAUUGUCGAUAGUGUCAGAAGACUCCACCUCAAGGGUGAUAGUCUUGCCGGUCAGAGUCUUGACGAAGAUCUGCAUGCCUCCCCUGAGACGGAGGACAAGGUGGAGGGUCGAUUCCUUCUGGAUGUUGUAGUCAGCAAGGGUCCUGCCAUCCUCAAGCUGCUUGCCAGCAAAGAUAAGACGCUGCUGGUCCGGAGGGAUGCCCUCCUUGUCCUGGAUCUUAGCCUUGACGUUGUCAAUGGUGUCAGAAGAUUCCACCUCGAGGGUGAUGGUCUUGCCCGUCAGAGUCUUGACGAAGAUCUGCAUGCCACCACGGAGGCGGAGAACAAGGUGAAGGGUCGACUCCUUCUGGAUGUUGUAGUCAGCCAGGGUCCUGCCAUCCUCCAGCUGCUUGCCAGCGAAGAUGAGACGCUGCUGAUCCGGGGGG